GGAUCAUAAGAAUGCAGUUUUAAACAGGCAGGUGGGGGUGAGAAGUAUUAAAAAUUCAAAAGAAGUUUUAAAAUAAAGCAAGAAACAUAUGUUUAGAGCCAAAACAACGAAAGAGCAAAGUUUGAUCGUAGUUUUCAGUGAAUGUGAAGCAAAGAAUUCUUACAGAACAUGAGCUGGCAUUACCCUCAAACCAAGAGAAAGUUUGAGUAGGGGAGCAGUAAAACCGACAA
This 230-nucleotide long non-coding RNA is filed under the name Felis catus (domestic cat). RNAcentral describes it as "lncRNA (ENSFCAG00000052699.1)". Lineage: Eukaryota; Metazoa; Chordata; Mammalia; Carnivora; Felidae. The record is from RNAcentral.